Long non-coding RNA from Bufo gargarizans (Asiatic toad), 417 nucleotides. RefSeq lists it as uncharacterized. The record is from RefSeq and is a predicted model, not a curated record. Lineage: Eukaryota; Metazoa; Chordata; Amphibia; Anura; Bufonidae. The transcript has 2 exons.
UGUGGGCAUUAGUACUGUAUGGUAGCACUAGAUUACCUUGCUAUACAUUGGCAAUUUGGCUUGGCUCAGUCUUACAGGACCAGCACAGUGCCCUCUGCUGGCGAUUUCACAGGGGCAGUCACCAUCUCUUCCUUAUGUGAUUUUUCUUUUUCUCUAUCACCACAGGGACCUUGUUCUCGAUCCAGCGGACACCACGCCAACGCCAGUGACAUCCUGGAUGAGAUCAUGAACUACAGCAGCUAACAGAGUUUUAUAAUGUCCUACCUGGGAUGAUGCAUGGAAAUCGGGAGAACAACUGAUACACCACCUUAUCUACAUAGAGACAUGCAGCUGAACAUCGAAACAUCGCAAGCAAGAAGCUUCAUAAAAAUCAAUUUAAAAAGUAUAUUUUAAUAAACAUGUUCUUUAUACAUUAAA